AUGAAUGCCCUAGUUUGGAACUGCCGGGGGGGGGGGGGACCGCGGACAGUUCGUGAGGUUUUGGCCCUCUCAAAAGCCAAUAACCCCAAGCUUGUCUUCCCGUGCAAGACUAGGCAAGCUACUAUGAAAAUAGAAAAGUUACGUUAGAGACUUGGUCUGAAAGGUUUUCAUGGUGUGAGUAGUGAUGGGAGGAGUGGGGCUUAG
RNAcentral lists this ribosomal RNA (204 nucleotides) under Triticum aestivum (bread wheat). Its description in RNAcentral is "partial small subunit ribosomal RNA". Lineage: Eukaryota; Viridiplantae; Streptophyta; Magnoliopsida; Poales; Poaceae. The record is from RNAcentral.